Molecule: ribosomal RNA, 1346 nt
Filed under: Bifidobacterium pseudocatenulatum
Lineage: Bacteria; Bacillati; Actinomycetota; Actinomycetes; Bifidobacteriales; Bifidobacteriaceae
Description: bacterial SSU rRNA
Rfam family: Bacterial small subunit ribosomal RNA
Source: RNAcentral
GCUUUGCUUGGUGGUGAGAGUGGCGAACGGGUGAGUAAUGCGUGACCGACCUGCCCCAUACACCGGAAUAGCUCCUGGAAACGGGUGGUAAUGCCGGAUGCUCCGACUCCUCGCAUGGGGUGUCGGGAAAGAUUUCAUCGGUAUGGGAUGGGGUCGCGUCCUAUCAGGUAGUCGGCGGGGUAACGGCCCACCGAGCCUACGACGGGUAGCCGGCCUGAGAGGGCGACCGGCCACAUUGGGACUGAGAUACGGCCCAGACUCCUACGGGAGGCAGCAGUGGGGAAUAUUGCACAAUGGGCGCAAGCCUGAUGCAGCGACGCCGCGUGCGGGAUGACGGCCUUCGGGUUGUAAACCGCUUUUGAUCGGGAGCAAGCCUUCGGGUGAGUGUACCUUUCGAAUAAGCACCGGCUAACUACGUGCCAGCAGCCGCGGUAAUACGUAGGGUGCAAGCGUUAUCCGGAAUUAUUGGGCGUAAAGGGCUCGUAGGCGGUUCGUCGCGUCCGGUGUGAAAGUCCAUCGCUUAACGGUGGAUCUGCGCCGGGUACGGGCGGGCUGGAGUGCGGUAGGGGAGACUGGAAUUCCCGGUGUAACGGUGGAAUGUGUAGAUAUCGGGAAGAACACCAAUGGCGAAGGCAGGUCUCUGGGCCGUUACUGACGCUGAGGAGCGAAAGCGUGGGGAGCGAACAGGAUUAGAUACCCUGGUAGUCCACGCCGUAAACGGUGGAUGCUGGAUGUGGGGCCCGUUCCACGGGUUCCGUGUCGGAGCUAACGCGUUAAGCAUCCCGCCUGGGGAGUACGGCCGCAAGGCUAAAACUCAAAGAAAUUGACGGGGGCCCGCACAAGCGGCGGAGCAUGCGGAUUAAUUCGAUGCAACGCGAAGAACCUUACCUGGGCUUGACAUGUUCCCGACAGCCGUAGAGAUAUGGCCUCCCUUCGGGGCGGGUUCACAGGUGGUGCAUGGUCGUCGUCAGCUCGUGUCGUGAGAUGUUGGGUUAAGUCCCGCAACGAGCGCAACCCUCGCCCUGUGUUGCCAGCACGUCAUGGUGGGAACUCACGGGGGACCGCCGGGGUCAACUCGGAGGAAGGUGGGGAUGACGUCAGAUCAUCAUGCCCCUUACGUCCAGGGCUUCACGCAUGCUACAAUGGCCGGUACAACGGGAUGCGACACGGCGACGUGGAGCGGAUCCCUGAAAACCGGUCUCAGUUCGGAUUGGAGUCUGCAACCCGACUCCAUGAAGGCGGAGUCGCUAGUAAUCGCGGAUCAGCAACGCCGCGGUGAAUGCGUUCCCGGGCCUUGUACACACCGCCCGUACAAGUCAUGAAAGUGGGUAGCACCCGAAGCCGGU